Molecule: ribosomal RNA, 427 nt
Filed under: uncultured bacterium
Lineage: Bacteria
Description: bacterial SSU rRNA
Rfam family: Bacterial small subunit ribosomal RNA
Source: RNAcentral
UGGGGAAUUUUGGACAAUGGACGCAAGUCUGAUCCAGCCAUGCCGCGUGCGGGAAGAAGGCCUUCGGGUUGUAAACCGCUUUUGUCAGGGAAGAAACUAGUUUCACUAAUACAGAGACUUAAUGACGGUACCUGAAGAAUAAGCACCGGCUAACUACGUGCCAGCAGCCGCGGCAAUACGUAGGGUGCAAGCGUUAAUCGGAAUUACUGGGCGUAAAGCGUGCGCAGGCGGUUAUGCAAGACAGAUGUGAAAUCCCCGGGCUCAACCUGGGAACUGCCUUUGUGACUGCAUAGCUAGAGUACGGUAGAGGGGGAUGGAAUUCCGCGUGUAGCAGUGAAAUGCGUAGAUAUGCGGAGGAACACCGAUGGCGAAGGCAAUCCCCUGGACCUGUACUGACGCUCAUGCACGAAAGCGUGGGGAGCAAACA